CGGAGCACGCCGCGUGAGUGAUGAAGGUCUUCGGAUCGUAAAACUCUGUUAUUAGGGAAGAACAUACGUGUAAGUAACUGUGCACGUCUUGACGGUACCUAAUCAGAAAGCCACGGCUAACUACGUGCCAGCAGCCGCGGUAAUACGUAGGUGGCAAGCGUUAUCCGGAAUUAUUGGGCGUAAAGCGCGCGUAGGCGGUUUUUUAAGUCUGAUGUGAAAGCCCACGGCUCAACCGUGGAGGGUCAUUGGAAACUGGAAAACUUGAGUGCAGAAGAGGAAAGUGGAAUUCCAUGUGUAGCGGUGAAAUGCGCAGAGAUAUGGAGGAACACCAGUGGCGAAGGCGACUUUCUGGUCUGUAACUGACGCUGAUGUGCGAAAGCGUGGGGAUCAAACAGGAUUAGAUACCCUGGUAGUCCACGCCGUAAACGAUGAGUGCUAAGUGUUAGGGGGUUUCCGCCCCUUAGUGCUGCAGCUAACGCAUUAAGCACUCCGCCUGGGGAGUACGACCGCAAGGUUGAAACUCAAAUGAAAUUGACGGA
Molecule: ribosomal RNA, 539 nt
Filed under: uncultured bacterium
Lineage: Bacteria
Description: bacterial SSU rRNA
Rfam family: Bacterial small subunit ribosomal RNA
Source: RNAcentral